GCAUGGUUAUUCCAAUACGUAUGUUUGCCUCUUCCCCACCAUGAUCUCCGUUUGGUUUCCCCUUGCCUGAUAACUAUUUAAAUACAUUUUACUAACUUCGGAUUCCUUGCUCAUUUCACUUCACCUGGCUGGGCAGGUCUGCGAGGGCUCAAGGGUUAGCUCCUCCACUUUUGCUGUUUUAUUUAUUUUUCAGUCAUCAUUUUUAUUAAGAUAACCAUGUUCAGAAGAAGAGUCUGACACACAUAAAUAAUGGGAAGUGCUAAUAGUAAGCAGGUUGCUGUAAAACUUGCUGGGGCUUUGACUUAAGGGAAGAAAGUGCAACCCUGUGCUAUCCCUAUCAGGAAGCUGGAGCACAGAAGACUUAACAGGCCUGUUGGCAGGAUGGGGCAUUUGGAGGACAUUGGGAAAGGCAGUCCGGAGACCGGCUGGAAAUAACUGUUGGGUCCUUGCCAUUGAACCAGAAAGGGAAAGGUAG
RNAcentral lists this long non-coding RNA (475 nucleotides) under Manacus vitellinus (golden-collared manakin). RNAcentral describes it as "lncRNA (ENSMVIG00005017091.1)". Lineage: Eukaryota; Metazoa; Chordata; Aves; Passeriformes; Pipridae. The record is from RNAcentral.